This 1573-nucleotide long non-coding RNA is filed under the name Ficedula albicollis (Collared flycatcher). RNAcentral's name for it is "lncRNA (ENSFALG00000026267.1)". Lineage: Eukaryota; Metazoa; Chordata; Aves; Passeriformes; Muscicapidae. The record is from RNAcentral.
GCUUCAGUGCUGCUGCAUUUCUGCCCUCCCCAGAGAUGAGCAGAAAUUUGCCCACAUUCCUGGGAAAAGGGAUGAAUCUCCAGCACAGGCAGCAUUCUUCUUCUUUAGGUCUUUAGGUUGUGUCCUCAGGUUUUCGAGUCCCACACACGUGCUGCUGCCGUCCCAGGGUGAUGGCACAACCUUCACCCCACCUCCUCUUCACCAAGACCUUCCUCCUCUUCUCAUUUUCUUUUUUUUUUUUUUGUUUUUUUUUUAGGAAAUAAUGUUGGGAAAAUCUGUUUUUUCAUAACUCUAGUGGUUCUGGAUUGAUGGUUGGCCCGGAUAAUCUUAAAGCUCUUUUCCAGCCUUGAUGAUUCUGUAAUUUUUGGUGGAAAUUUUCAUGCCACAAGCCCAACCAGCUCCACUUCCUCAAAGGCUCUCAGCACUCCAAACAACUCCAUGAGGAGAUGAUUCCUGGUCUUUUGGAGGGUGGUGGAAAGGGACAUUUGAAGGCUGGUGAUUUUUUAAAAGGACAAGUGAUGGCACUUUUCCUCCUCUCCUUGUUGCCCAUGUAGAAAGUGCUGAAAGACUAAAGGGCUUUGAGUGUGGGGGCAUUUGUGCUGUUUGUUUCUCAGGCCAUAUGCACAGCUCAGUCCUUUUUAUAGUCCUGCAUAUGGCACGAGCAUAAUUGAAUUUUUCACCGUAAUUGAUCUGACCUGUAUCAUUCUGCUGGCUCCAGCAGAGAUAAUUCCAACUGACUGAGAUCAGGACUGAAAACAUGGUGCAGUGAGUGGAGGAGCCAUGAAUUCCCAGAGAGGAGGAGGCACGAGCGGCUUUGCCCAGUUUGUGCUGUUUGUACCUGGCACAGCUGUUUGGCUUUCAGAGCUCCUCCUGACUCGAACCAGAACCACAGACUCCUGCUUGCUGGAAAGGAGGAACAGAAAAAACCAAGGAGAAACAACACUUCAGCAUCACUAUUACAUCUCCAUCCUCUUCAGCCUUAAAGUUCUCCUUCCCUUUCACUAGAGCCAGGAGGAAUAAAGUACUCUGAGCAGUUGCUCUGCCUUCUUUCCAUUCCUUUUCCCCCUGCUCCCCUUCACUGUGAGUCAGAGUGCUGAGGUUCUUGGAGAGUCUGGGAAGAGGACAGUGCCUGAUUUCCAUGGGCCAGCAUCUGGCCACAGUUACAACAAGCAAAAAUUACCUGUGGUGUUUAUGGUUAGGAAGAAUCUCGAUUUCUUGACCGUAUGAGGCAUUCACGGAUCCUGUAAGAGAGAAAAAAAGGCUCAGGUAUAUAUUUUUUUUAAUUAAAAGUAAUGGUUUGAUAGAAGAAUAAACCCAGACCAACCACUGGGGAAGGACACUUUUGUUCUCCAAAAUCAAGCCCCAUUCCACCCAGGGAUGGAGAUUUAUGGCACAAACCAAGGUUGUCUUGAUCCUGUGACCUGGGGGUUGCCAACCUUCACCAUCUCUCAAAACAUCUGUGAAUUUAUAUUUUUGUUUUCACACUGCUUAUCUGGGUUGGUGAAUUAUUGAGUAUUAUCCUGUUAUAAGUCAAGGUAGGUCUGGUUUCUACUCUGGAAACACCCCUGUUAUA